UACGGAGGGGGCAAGCGUUGUUCGGAAUUAUUGGGCGUAAAGCGUAUGUAGGCGGCCGAUCAAGUCAGACGUGUAAGCCCACGGCUCAACCGUGGAAUUGCGUUUGAUACUAGUCGGCUUGAGUUCGGGAGAGGAAAGCGGAAUUCCCAGUGUAGCGGUGAAAUGCAUUGAUAUUGGGAAGAACAUCUGUGGCGAAGGCGGCUUUCUGGCCCGAUACUGACGCUGAGAUACGAAAGCCAGGGGAGCGAACGGG
RNAcentral lists this ribosomal RNA (253 nucleotides) under uncultured bacterium. RNAcentral's name for it is "partial 16S ribosomal RNA". It matches the Rfam family "Bacterial small subunit ribosomal RNA", at positions 524 to 776 of the family's 1533-position model. The record is from RNAcentral.